GGGAACAAAGCUGAAGCCCGGGGAGGCGUGUGGGAGCACCCCCACCCCUGCCCCAGGACGGUGGCUCUGGGGCACCCAGAAAGUUCCCAGGGCAAACUUGCCCUCGCUCUCACUUCCCAAGUCACAGAGGAUACGUGGGAAGCUCUUCACAGCAUCUGCCUCGGGUUCUGACGUGAAUUCUGCUAUUAUCGAGAGAAGAGAACCGAGUCAGAAACUCGGAGGCCCUGCCGGAGUCUAGCCUGGGCCGGUUUGGAAGUGAACCCUAGAAUUUUCCAUUCUUAAGGAUCAGCUCCCAGAAGAAUCCACCAAGACUCCUGAGAUCUCCUGGGGUCCCAAGAGAGAGGGCUGAGGAGGGACCCAGAAUCCUUGGGAAGUCAAUCAUUCUGAGUCCCCAGGACCCAGAAGCCUAUAGGAAAGUGAGCUCCACCCUCUGGGCAACCCACAAGCUGGAAUGAAGAUGCUCAAGGCUCUGAAAGAUCCCAUCAUCCUCAUAAAAACAUGAAAGCCACUGGGCCCAAGGCCGGGGGCUCACUCCCCAGGCCAGGCCAGGCCUGGAGUCUCCAGCAGAAUGCUGCCCACAGGGGCCCAGUUGCUGAAGGCAGCUCCGCCCCUGCAGAGCCAGUCAUCCAAUCAAGACAGGUGGCAGGGGGUGAUGUCACGGGCUGUGAGCCAGUCAGAGGAGAGGCCUGGGGAGGUCUGCCUUAUAUAUAUCCUAUGUGUACUUUAUGAUGUAUAUCCAAGUACUCUGUUGACUGGGACUUAGAUAAAUAUUACACGUAUGGUCAUAUACACAGAGUACACCUAUUUAGAGUAGCUGUUCUAAUGGCUCAUGACUGUGAUCUGCGUUUUUCUGAUGAUUCAUCUUACCAAGUACAUUUUCUUGUAUUUGUUAGCCAUUUGUAUCUUCUUUGGAGAAAUCUCUCUCUCUCUCUCUCUCUCUCUCAUCCUCUCAUCUACUUACCUACCUACCAACACA
This is a long non-coding RNA of Dipodomys spectabilis (banner-tailed kangaroo rat), 976 nucleotides long. RefSeq lists it as uncharacterized. The transcript is spliced from 3 exons. Lineage: Eukaryota; Metazoa; Chordata; Mammalia; Rodentia; Heteromyidae. The record is from RefSeq and is a predicted model, not a curated record.